GACGAACGCUGGCGGCGUGCUUAACACAUGCAAGUCGAGCGGAAAGGCCUCUUCGGGGGUACUCGAGCGGCGAACGGGUGAGUAACACGUGAGCAACCUGCCCUUCACUUUGGGAUAACCAUCGGAAACGGUGGCUAAUACCGGAUAUGACACUUCCCCGCAUGGGGUGGGUGUGGAAAGUUUUUCGGUGGGGGAUGGGCUCGCGGCCUAUCAGCUUGUUGGUGGGGUAAUGGCCUACCAAGGCGAUGACGGGUAGCCGGCCUGAGAGGGCGACCGGCCACACUGGGACUGAGACACGGCCCAGACUCCUACGGGAGGGCAG
Molecule: ribosomal RNA, 322 nt
Filed under: uncultured Actinomycetes bacterium
Lineage: Bacteria; Bacillati; Actinomycetota; Actinomycetes
Description: bacterial SSU rRNA
Rfam family: Bacterial small subunit ribosomal RNA
Source: RNAcentral